RNAcentral lists this ribosomal RNA (533 nucleotides) under Bifidobacterium bifidum. RNAcentral describes it as "bacterial SSU rRNA". It matches the Rfam family "Bacterial small subunit ribosomal RNA", at positions 162 to 706 of the family's 1533-position model. Lineage: Bacteria; Bacillati; Actinomycetota; Actinomycetes; Bifidobacteriales; Bifidobacteriaceae. The record is from RNAcentral.
GGUAAUGCCGGAUGUUCCACAUGAUCGCAUGUGAUUGUGGGAAAGAUUCUAUCGGCGUGGGAUGGGGUCGCGUCCUAUCAGCUUGUUGGUGAGGUAACGGCUCACCAAGGCUUCGACGGGUAGCCGGCCUGAGAGGGCGACCGGCCACAUUGGGACUGAGAUACGGCCCAGACUCCUACGGGAGGCAGCAGUGGGGAAUAUUGCACAAUGGGCGCAAGCCUGAUGCAGCGACGCCGCGUGAGGGAUGGAGGCCUUCGGGUUGUAAACCUCUUUUGUUUGGGAGCAAGCCUUCGGGUGAGUGUACCUUUCGAAUAAGCGCCGGCUAACUACGUGCCAGCAGCCGCGGUAAUACGUAGGGCGCAAGCGUUAUCCGGAUUUAUUGGGCGUAAAGGGCUCGUAGGCGGCUCGUCGCGUCCGGUGUGAAAGUCCAUCGCUUAACGGUGGAUCUGCGCCGGGUACGGGCGGGCUGGAGUGCGGUAGGGGAGACUGGAAUUCCCGGUGUAACGGUGGAAUGUGUAGAUAUCGGAAAAGAA